CAGUAGUGUCAAGUUAGUGUUGGAGGUUAGCUUUGGUUCUUUCAAACAAGCUAGGCAAGUGUGUAUAGUUGACAGGUUGAUCCACUUUAGCAUCUUUAGUACUAUCUGCAAUCAGUAAAUCUAGAAUGGUGGUAAGAAGUGGUUAGCCAUUCAAGUAAAAAUCAUAAGUUCAUAGUCCGCUUCUUGACUCAAUAAAAUUAUUUUUAAAAAUAUUUUGACAAAACUCAAGAAGAUGGUGUUAGUACUACCUCCCCCAGACUUAAAUUACACCGUCUCGCUGUAAAGUGUCCAAAGGUGGUGAUAAGCUAAUUUAGAUGUUUGAGAUGUUAAAGCAAAGGGUCAUACCUCUCUGUCCCGCCUAUCGAUCGAUACCAUCCUCUCCGUAUCGAUCGACGGCGUAGAACAGAAAAUUCUGCGUCAUGUCUGGAAUCUAACUCAUAUGGUCUGUCAGUUUGGUUAUCUCUGUUAGACACUCCAAACAUAAGAAAUAAGUAAACAGUCUCAAACACAAAGCAUAGAUAUGUCUAAAAUAUAAAUCCUACAAGUCCGAAAAAUAGAAAAAAAAAAACAAAUGCAUAAGGGAAAGAGAUAGAAAUGUGAGGACUAGUCGGUGUUCUCGUUGUUCGUGUCGUCGUCGCUCUCGGAUGAGGGGUCUCUGCGCUGCCUAGAACGUCCUGCUGCCGCUAGUGAGUGAGCUCUGAUGGUCCUCCUGCUCGUGCGAGAAACUCUAGCCCAUAUGGCACGAAGAGCAUCCACAACUACCCUCUGAAAAUCUCCCUAAUCGUGCAUAGGGAUGUCUGGUAUGUGCGGGAAAUCAGGAAGAGGUGCCUCUGGUGGUCCCUGUGUAGCUCUGGCUCGAUGCACUCCGGGAGGUCUGCGCGGGAUGGCUGGAAGAUCGCGGAGGAGCUGGGCAUCGGGGAGGAACCGGAGUCUCUCGACACUGUAAUCGAAGUCCGUGAUUGUCUUGUUCGGCAUCUGCAGUAGACGGCGCUGGUUCCCG
This 1000-nucleotide long non-coding RNA is filed under the name Brassica rapa (field mustard). RNAcentral's name for it is "long non-coding RNA (BRAP_LNC003613)". The record is from RNAcentral. Lineage: Eukaryota; Viridiplantae; Streptophyta; Magnoliopsida; Brassicales; Brassicaceae.